Molecule: ribosomal RNA, 253 nt
Filed under: uncultured bacterium
Lineage: Bacteria
Description: partial 16S ribosomal RNA
Rfam family: Bacterial small subunit ribosomal RNA
Source: RNAcentral
UACAGAGGUCUCAAGCGUUGUUCGGAUUCAUUGGGCGUAAAGGGUGCGUAGGCGGCGCGGUAAGUCGGGUGUGAAAUCUCGGAGCUUAACUCCGAAACUGCAUUCGAUACUGCUGUGCCUGAGGACUGGAGAGGAGACUGGAAUUUACGGUGUAGCGGUGAAAUGCGUAGAUAUCGUAAGGAAGACCAGUGGCGAAGGCGGGUCUCUGGACAGUUCCUGACGCUGAGGCACGAAGGUCAGGGGAGCAAACGGG